UUUUUUUUUAGUUGUUAGAGUGGGGAGGGAAAAUUAGGAUUUUUAUUUUUGUAGGAGUUGUAGAUCUGCAUGUGGUGCUUGGGUUUUGUGUUUCUAGAGAGUUGCCCAGUGAAAAUUACUCCCUCUUGCCCCGCCCCGGCCCAGCAGCAGGUGGUGAGGGGAGAGGGCAGUUGAGGCCCUCAGUGCCCGCCCACCAGUCGGCAGCUCAGCCUGGGGCUGUAGAUCCCCAGGGCUGUGCUGCUCAAUUACCAGCGACGCCAUGGACAAGCUGGGCUCACGGUGCCCUCUGCCAGGCUACCCGCGGCCCUCUGUCUUUAUAUGCCUCCUGGUACUUUUGGAAUGGAGAAAUAGAAGAAGCCACUCAGAUCCUGUUGGUUGGUGCAUCCUUUUGAAAUCCCAGAGAUCUUCAGUCUUCUCAUGGACCAAGGAGAUGUGCAGUAUUUGAAGUGGCUGGAGGAGGGCAUGGAGGAGGACUGAGUGGGGGAGGCUUUUUGUGCGUCCUGCUGGCUGCCUCUAGCCUUCAUCAGCUGCACUCUGGGAAAGGGGAGGCCUCUUUCUGCCUCCUGGCAUCUCUGGAUUCCAUGUUUUUGUCAGCACAGAGGAGCUAAGUAACUUGUGAAGGCUGAAGGUCCGAGGCUCCUAAGGCUGGAAGAGGAGGCUGGGCCAGUUGGGCCAGGCAAGAACCCAGUGGAACUUUUCUCUGAGUGCUUCAUGCUUAAAGGUGGCCAGGGGGUGGGAGGGUGAUGAUGGCUGUGUGUAGGGAUCCAGGGGAGGUGGCAGUGAGGGUGAGGUUUGUCACCUUCUCCUGCAGUCACUGUGCCUACCUCGAGUGCCCAAGAUGUAAUUCCUCUCCUUCUCAGGAGGAGGAAUGGACCUCAUGACCUCUUCAGCCAGAACUGUGUGGGAUGAAUGCACCUUUUGGGAAACUGGCAAGCACUUCAUCCAAAAGGAUGAAUUCCUAAUGGUGGAAUUUCAGGGACAAGCAGGAUUAUUUCUCCAGGCGAAAGAUGGUGUUUGUUGUUCCAGAGUCUUGAGGAGGUGGGACUGGGAAUGGGCCUCAAGAGUUUGUAGGACAAGGGAAACAUUAGGGCUUAGACACAGCCUCAUGGGUUGGGAGUAGGUCUUGACUCUUCCUGGCCUGAAUGUGACAGACAGCAGAAGCUUCUGGGGCCUUUCUCAGUGGAGACACAGGUUCUGAGCCCGCCAUACUAUUUCACUUGAGCAUUGAAGCUGAACAUCCUAAAGUAGGAAAGAACCCUGGGGAAUUGCUGGACCAGUGUUUUUCAGACUUACUCCACAGAGCCCCAGGGGUUGACAGAAGGUACUCUGGGGGCUGCCUCGGUGUGCGGGUAAGGAUAUGAGGCCCCCCCACCCAUAAUUCAACCAGUACAACUGUGCUUUUAUUUAUGUAUUGAGCUCCCUUGUAAGCUUUGGGGUUUUUUUUAAAAGUUUUCUCUGUUAAAAGUUUGUGAACCAGUGGUCUAAGCCAAUCUCCAUUUUAUAGAUUCCUAAAGGAAACUGAACUGCACUGAGGUCCAGAAAGGGGGUGACGUGUUGCAUUAUGAAGGGUACAGCCAGGCCUGCUCGCCCUGUGUCUGGUGCUCUCCUAUACCUGCUCCACGGGUCUUAGGGGGAAGAGAGCAGAGAAGGCAGAGCCCUGUGGGGUGAGAAGAGAGACUUGACCAAAGGCCUCUCUGUGCCUCUAUCACAAGGUAACCCUCCUUGGGGGAGACCAUGGGCAGUUUGGGUAGGGGUCCACAGAUAUCUGUGGUAUCCUGGGCCUUUCUUCCCCGAGGGAAGGGUGUGUGGGAGGGGUUUUGCCUGGCUCUAGUUCUGACACCUCCUGUGCUUCUUGGACCUUAGUUCCUCCGAAUAUAAAAUGGGGGGGGGGGGGAUCUCCAGGGGCUCUUCUGUGAAGACCUUGUAGGGACUUUAGGCUGAGGCCCUUCCAAAGGUUCAGAGGAUCCUAUGUUGAGAGCCAGUGGGGAUUUUGGAGGACUGCCUCAGGAGAAGAAUAAAGAGAAUGAUAAUGGUGGUGUCCCUUUUUACAACAGAUGUUUGUGAUACAUAUGAAAAUCUUGUGUAAGUGUGAAAAUCUUGUGAAAACGUUCUGGGGACCCCAAAUGGACUGCCCGUUAUUGCUUUCAGGAUAAAGUCCAAUUUCUUGCUUUGGCUUUCUUUUUUCUUUUUUUGGUUUAUAACAUUGUGUGAUUUCAGGUGUACAUUAUCAUAUAUCAGUUUCUGUAUAGACUACAUCGUGCUCACCACCAAUAGUCUAUAGUUUUUAUCUGUCUUCGGUCUGGCUUUGAAGGCCCUUCAUAACCUUGUCUCCAACUCUGGCAAGUGGAUGGCUCCAAUAUGCUGUGUGAUAUUACCCCUGAUUUCAGGCCAUCCCUUCUGCCUGGAGUGCCCUUAUGCAUGAAUGCUCGUGAAACCUGGCUGCUCCUUUGCAAGGCCUGGCUCCCCUGGUUGGAAGGAAUCUCUCCUGCUGUGGUGUCCCUGUUAUCCUCGUGCACCACAACCAGCCUCCUAUUUCUAGAAUGUGGGCUGCUCGAGGUCAGGGGCGUGUCUGAAUCUAUUUGAUGUCUUCCACAGGGUUUGGCAAAUAUUUCCCAAAUUGAUGUUUAAAGGAUAUGAAUAACUAAAGCUUUCUCUGUAGUCCAUAGUUAUUUUCUAAUUGUUGGAAUUGGCAAAAUCCAACAUUUUUUCCUUGAACUUUCUUAAAGUAGGACUAAUUCCAAAGCAGAUUUUUCUUUCCCUCUGUGGCCUUCAUUGGGUCAUUUUCUAUGCUGACCGUGCAUUGAAAACUGUUGGUGGCCUUCCUUUGCCUCAGUGUCACCGUUGACUAUAGGAAUGGGAGGGGAGAGGGACAGAACACCAGCUCUCUCUGCCAGGUAGUGU
This 2901-nucleotide long non-coding RNA is filed under the name Equus caballus (horse). RNAcentral's name for it is "lncRNA (ENSECAG00000056606.1)". The record is from RNAcentral. Lineage: Eukaryota; Metazoa; Chordata; Mammalia; Perissodactyla; Equidae.